Molecule: non-coding RNA, 595 nt
Organism: Oreochromis aureus
Lineage: Eukaryota; Metazoa; Chordata; Actinopteri; Cichliformes; Cichlidae
Source: the annotation of a RefSeq genome assembly
AGCAGGGGGAAUAACACAGGGCUGUGAAUGAGUCCUGUCACUGUGAUCAGGCUCCUCCUUCUAAUCCACCAACUUAGUGUUGAUGAAGACUAAACAGAGAGAUCACAGCUUCUUUAUACUUGCUGUAGCUCACAGUUACUCUACACUGCAGAUAUGACGCCUCUGUUCAUCUCAGUGCUGCUGGCUGCUAUGUGCCUCGAAUGCAGAGCACAAAAAGACAACGUGCUGCAAGCAAAAGGAGAAGAGACUGCUGCUGACGGAGGCACAGUAACACUUGGCUGUCAGUAUAACACCAGCAGUACAGCACCUUCUCUCUUCUGGUACAAACAGGAUGGAAACAAUAGCCCCAAAUUCAUCCUGAGUCACAUUAGCAGGGAUGAUGGAAACACAGCAGACGAGUUCAAGGAGAGAUUUUCCUCCACACUGGAUUCCAGCAUCAGAUCAGCUCCUCUGAAGAUCCAGAAGCUUCAGCUGUCUGACUCUGCUGUGUACUACUGUGCUCUGCAGCCCACAGUGACAGGAAACACCAAAACUCUGUACAAAAACCUUUGGAGCAAAGACAACAGAAUACUCCACAACAUCCACUAGAGGGAGC